This 305-nucleotide ribosomal RNA is filed under the name uncultured bacterium. RNAcentral describes it as "bacterial SSU rRNA". It matches the Rfam family "Bacterial small subunit ribosomal RNA", at positions 338 to 635 of the family's 1533-position model. The record is from RNAcentral.
CCUACGGGGGGCAGCAGUUAGGAAUAUUCGUCAAUGGGGGAAACCCUGAACGAGCAAUGCCGCGUGAAGGAUGACGGUCCUAUGGAUUGUAAACUUCUGUUGUUAGGGAAGAACGACCUAAGUAGGAAAUGACUUAGGAGUGACGGUACCUUUCAAGAAAGCUCCGGCUAACUACGUGCCAGCAGCCGCGGUAAUACGUAGGGAGCGAGCGUUAUCCGGAUUUAUUGGGUUUAAAGGGUGCGUAGGCGGAUUUUUAAGUCAGCGGUAAAAUGUCCGGGCUCAACCCGGGCCGGCCGUUGAAACUG